AGGAUUGGUUGUCCACUCAUAACCAUAAGAUAAUUAAAACGGGGGGGGGCAGGGUAAAAAAAAAACCCUUUUAUCAGCCAUAGGUUAAUGCAAGUGUUUAACAGAUGCUUCGCUAUUAAAAUAUUUCCCCCCAAUACUGAAGAAUCUUAAACCAGCAACCCUAACAGAGAUUGCGAAGAUUUUCAAAGUGGGGCACCUCGAUUUCUCGAAUCUGUGGUGUGGCGAAUAUCCGUGUUCCUCCUGCUUAACUAGCCUGUUUGCAUCUUUUGACACAUUUUACUUCCGUAAUUUCGGACUGCCAGAAGGCACAGUUCAUUCUCGAGCAAUUCGUCACCUCCUGGGGGUCUUCUCUUCCCGUCUACAGGAGAGUGUGACUUCAGAAAGAACUUCGGAUUGGCCAAGGCCAUUAAAGCUGGUGAGCGACUUGGAAGUCAUUUAGAAAGGAACAGACCUUCAACCUCAAGCCUUUGCGGGCACUGGGAAAGUGUCUUCCCAAUCAAUCUGGCUUGCAGGCGGCAGGACCAACUCUGACCUGGCUUAUCUUGUACCCAUCCUAAAUACACCAAACUCAAGAGGUAGCCAGGGCCGCCUCAACACCGAGGUCUGAUUCUAUUUAUUCUAAAGACAGAGUUGGAGAUGGGCUACCAUUGGUGUUGAUUGAGAUGACAAGCAGUCACCUGAGCCCAUACAGCUGGUAAGUAGAACAGUACUGGAGAGAUGGCUCAGCAGUUAAGAGCACUGACUGCUCUUCCAGAGAUCCUGAGUUCAAUUCCCAGCAACCACAUGGUGGCUCACAAACAUCUGUAAUGAGAUCAGGUGCCCUCUUCUGGUGCCUUUGAAGACAAAGACAGUGUAGUGUCAUAUAUAUAAAAUAAAUAAAUCUUUAGAAAUUUGAAAA
RNAcentral lists this long non-coding RNA (898 nucleotides) under Mus musculus (house mouse). Its description in RNAcentral is "Hand2, opposite strand 1". The record is from RNAcentral. Lineage: Eukaryota; Metazoa; Chordata; Mammalia; Rodentia; Muridae.